ACUGUUUAUCAAAAACACAGGUCUCUGCUAAACCGUAAGGUGAUGUAUAGGGGCUGGCGCCUGCCCGGUGCUGGAAGGUUAAGAGGAGUGGUUAGCUUCUGCGACGCUACGAAUCGAAGCCCCAGUAAACGGCGGCCGUAACUAUAACGGUCCUAAGGUCGCGAAAUUCCUUGUCGGGGAAGUUCCGACCCGCACGAAAGGCGUAACGAUUUGGGCACGGUCUCAACGAG
RNAcentral lists this ribosomal RNA (230 nucleotides) under Staphylococcus aureus. RNAcentral describes it as "partial 23S ribosomal RNA". It matches the Rfam family "Bacterial large subunit ribosomal RNA", at positions 1799 to 2028 of the family's 2925-position model. The record is from RNAcentral. Lineage: Bacteria; Bacillati; Bacillota; Bacilli; Caryophanales; Staphylococcaceae.